UUACAUAAUACAAUACCGACCAUUCAAUACAUGCAUUAAAUAACUUCUAUCAAUAGAUUAUCGAAAAAAUUCACACUUGAACUUGAAAUGAAAUAAAAAACAAGCAGCAAUUAAGCUAUGACAUCAAAUAUAAAAGCAAAUUAACACAUAAAUAGUCUUUACUUACUUACGCCACUCCCUUGAAGGACUUUAGCCUCCUUAUAUAUGGCAGAUUUCUUAAGCUAUUUAGAUAUUCGGUAAGACAACUUUGACGAAUGAUAUUCAGAACGCACAACACAGAAAGACGAAGACAAACAUCAACGUCUCGAACCUACGAUUCCAGCGUCAGAAAGAUCCGGGCCGAUGCCCCAGACAGCGACCACUGUGACCAGUUCAUAACAGAAUAAUAGCUCCUUGUACCACGAACAUGCAACAACGGAACUUAUUAUGUAAGAUUUGGGGUUUUCACAAAGGUUGUUGCGCCUUGAUGAUGGAGGCAGGAGGCAUCUCUGAAACGUCGGUAAACUUCUAUCAGAUUACACGGCGCAACAAUCCAGAAAGUGGCCAUCUUCGUAUUCGCCGCAAAGGAAACCUCAAAACUAAAAGAAGUUCAUGGGCUAUAGGUUGGGGCGGUCAUAAUUCGAUGAAAGACGGAUGUCUUCAAGAACGUUUCAUAGCCAGAGAUCGUUAAGUCGACCACACGUCUCCACCCAGCGCACGAUAUUUAACCGAACGUCAGCUGUAAGCCGCUAUGGCAUGGCGUUUAAAAAUCGGGAUUCUUUACCUCACGAUUUGGAUUGUCACGGCUAUCAUCCCACCACAGAAGUUCGCCCAUUUCCCGUUAACGACUAGAGACAUUGCAUAACAAGAAGACAAGAUGUCAGUCGGUGCUAAGAAAAUGUGGACACGGAAUGUGCUCAAAAUCUGUUUCAAGAUUCUAAGUUAUUGAGCCGACAACCACACGCAUGUGACUAAAUGUAUGAAUGUUAUUUAUCACUUAGAUUAAAACUGGAAAAGCUAUAUUUACACAGGAGGCAUCUUGGUGACCUUUAUAUUAUUGAUGUUUUAAAGAAUAAAUUUGUUGUUCGUCCAUUACGUCUGCGCAUAACUUCUAGGUCAAUCAGAGACUACUUUUGCUGUUUAUCGCAAUUUUCCUCAGCCACAUGUGGUUCUGCUAUCAAUGCAGUCUGCAAGAGGUUACUGAAUUAUUUAAUGAAGAUUGUAUUUUACAUACUGAUAUCAGCCAGCUCCUUAAAUCAAAACAAUUGUUCUCUUCUAGUGUAUUUACUUUUAAUUAUAUUUUAUUGUGUGUUUAUUUUAGCAUUUACAAGUAAUUGCGAUCUCAGCUGUUGUCAAACAGUUUAAUAAAUGGAUUGAAUUAUUA
Long non-coding RNA from Zootermopsis nevadensis, 1363 nucleotides. RefSeq lists it as uncharacterized. The record is from RefSeq and is a predicted model, not a curated record. Lineage: Eukaryota; Metazoa; Arthropoda; Insecta; Blattodea; Termopsidae.